This 2787-nucleotide long non-coding RNA is filed under the name Homo sapiens (human). RNAcentral describes it as "non-protein coding lnc-H3F3B-1:1". The stretch from base 1287 to 1373 matches the Rfam family "mir-4738 microRNA precursor family". The record is from RNAcentral. Lineage: Eukaryota; Metazoa; Chordata; Mammalia; Primates; Hominidae.
ACAUCACUCAGGAGCCCAUGGGGAUGAGAGGCAUUCACAGAGCAUCAGGGAAAAUGGAAAGCAACAUUUUGCUUAACAGGAGAAACCGCCCCUUAUUCAUCUUUCUCCCACAUCACCUAACUCUAGGGAAUGCUUAACGUGGCUUGAAGGAAAUGAAGACAGCGACCUAAAAGCACACAGAUGCAAGACUUCCAGGAAGAGGUUUUCCCAUCCUGCUGGACUCCUGUAGUGUCAGUAUUUGGGGCUCCCUCUAAUGCUACAUUUCUGCUGAGCCUGCAGACAUACUUGGAACCCAUCACCUUCGGGCUCCCAGACUCAGGCUCCGCACAGCCCGCGAGGGAAACGGUCAUGGGCACGCACGGACACGUUUCCAUCUUUGCAUGUUUAUCUACGUCGACUGUGAAUUCAAGCAAGUGUGGCCCUCGUGGACAACCUACGAGCCUUAGGGACACAAAAGGCUUCCUGCGCAAACUGCACGGAAUCUCCUGACAGGACUUCACGUUAAUCAUCAUUCAUAGGUGGGUUCUGGGGCUGGACCCCACGGAACUCCUCUUGGUUGUGUCUUGGACUUCUCACUGCCCCAAAGGAGCCUACUACUGUGGUUUUAUGGUCUGAGGAACAGUUAGGCCUCGAAGGCCUGGCCUAGGGAGAGUGCACUCUGCAUCCCGAGCUCCCGCCUUCCCCACUCGGCGGCCGGGACCGAGUUUCCCGCCCCACAGCCCGACCAGAGGUUGGUGGCAGUUGGAGGCAGUUGGGACCGGCCCCAGCAGGUUGGAACCGGUCUGGGCCGGGCCGGAGGAGGAAGGGGGGGAGGAAGAGGCCGCCUCGCGCUCUCCCUGCGCGCGUGACUCACGCUGGCCGCUGACGUCAGGCGUGCGCGCGCGGCGGGGGGGGGGGGGCUCUACGUACGUGUAGUGCUGCGGUUUCUCGGGCUGUGCCUGCAGCACCUGAGCGGUAGCGGCCGGGGGCGCCGAGGAAGCUGCGGAGCCGCCGGGCCCGGGGCCCUUCGACAUGGUCUUGUCUUCCUGCCUCUUCGCCGCUCCCCUUUUAUUAUUCAGUCUGCGCGGUCCGCGCCGAGGACCCAGUGCGCCUGCGCCGCGCCACGAGAACGUGAAGACCCCCCACACGGCAGCAGGGGUUGCUGGGAGUUGUGGUUCUAUGUCCGGCUGGAAUUUUACCGUCGGCAGAGGGUUGCUGGCAAAGCACAGGACCACAAUACCCAGGGAUCCUUGCUGCUAGUGUCCCGGAUGCUGAGGGCCUGCGACGGCUUCUGGGAAUUGCAGUCCGGUCGCAUUUCUCCUUCUUACCAGCGCGUUUUCAGUUUCAUAGGGAAGCCUUUCCAUGAAACUGGAGCGCCUGGAGGAGAAGGGGCCCAGAGCUAGGGAGGCCCUAGCGAUUUCUGCGAAAGAGUUCCAAGUAUAAUUUCACUGCCAACAGUGUCAUAACUACUUUGCCUUUAUACUUAGUACAGCUAGGUUCGGUUCUAAUGCCAGCUCAGAGCAGUGCUCCAAGCAGGGCUUAAGAAUCUGUGUUGUCGGUUCUUAGUUCUGGGCCCUGUGCUGCAGGCACCUGCAAUCCGCCAGCAACCCCUUCAUCCCUGCGGCGGGUCUAACCUAAGAGGCAUUGAGAAAGCUUUGCUAAGGAGGAGGUACACCGCACGCUACAGUUCCCGCGCCUUUGCCGAGGCGCUUCAUUUACCUUUGCCAAACUCGACACCUGGAACUCCACGACUUGUGUGCUUUCUCAGCCUGACACCUGGCCUGACCAACUUGUUUCCAGUACAUUAAGGGCCAAGGACGAAUUUAAUCUCCGCCUAGAAUAGUCUCUGAGGUACACUGACAAGUUGCCAGUGUUGAGAAGCAUCACAGGGUCCAGAGGAAAGGCCUGGGUUUGAGUAGGGCGUGCCCGUAUUUAUCCACUCUAGUUUUCUUGUCUGGACGUCAGCCUUUUUACUUGGGACAUUAUCUUUCCCCUCUCUGCUUCCCACCAGUCAAGCAAAGUUCUUCACUUUAUAAAAUAAGCCAGAUGCCCCAGACCUAGGCAUUUGUUUCUGUGAGUUUUAGAAUGUUCUCCGUAGAUAUUUUAACCGUUGUCAUUUAAUUUGGUUUUUCAUAUUGAAUCUAUUUCAAAUCCACUGGUUUUGAUUUAUAUUUUCUUAGAUGGGAUUAUAUUAACAAAUGAUUAUCUCAUUAAAGAAACACAUUCCAAAUAACCUUAGGGAUGAAGGGUGGUGGGGCUAAUGGAAAAUCGUUAAUGUUUGAGUGACACAUACUUAUUUUAUUUAGCUCCAAGUUCCCUCACAUCAGAAGCCACAUCACAGAGUUGAGAAACUGGUUUUUCCUAAACAGGCUAAAUCGUUUAGCCACUAGGGGCGUUUGAAAAUGAAAAAUUACAAAAGGACAAAUAAAAGUUGUAGUAUAUUGCUUUAAUCCUAUGAUUAAACGCAAGUUACUUGGUUUAUGUUAGCCUCACAAUACUCAAGUGUGAUCUGACUGAAGAAAUAGAGUUCACAGCACUGGAUUUUAAAUAAUAGAUGUAUAUCAUGAGCUUCAGAAUAAGUGUGUACUGGUGGAGUUGGGAGAUGAUAUCAUCCAAACUGCUUAAUUUACAAAAGAGGAAACCGAAACCCAGAGAAGCUAAGUAACUUGCACAAAGUUACUCAGCAAGUUGGUAACAAGAGGAACUAGGACAGUAGCCUACAAGACUACAUCACAUUCACUGUUGGGUUUUGUUUGUUUUGUUUUCUUCUGCUUUUUUUCAUUGUAUAAACAUUUUUUAUUCUUCCUC